RNAcentral lists this ribosomal RNA (339 nucleotides) under Triticum aestivum (bread wheat). Its description in RNAcentral is "partial small subunit ribosomal RNA". The record is from RNAcentral. Lineage: Eukaryota; Viridiplantae; Streptophyta; Magnoliopsida; Poales; Poaceae.
UUCUCAUGGUCAUGGGAGAAAGAUGGCUGCUUCUCGACGAGGUCUACAUACGCGGCAAAAUUCUGGGGCAGAGAAGUGAUCCCUAUGGCAGAUUUCACCUGGAGAUCGAGGGCUUCGCUUCGCUGUCGCUUCUUCGCGUGGCUGGCCUUCCAGAACAGAUGUUGGACGGCGGACCGGCUAGCCCGGCGUGGCCUGGAUCACCCGGAGCGUUGCCCUUUUUGCGACCAGCAUGAGGAAAGCAGCAGCCAUCUUUUGCUUGCUUGUGUGUUUGCCACUGAGGUCUGGGCCAUUGUCUCGGCAGCCGCAAAUAAACCAAGAUGGGCGCCAACGGCAGGGGAG